This 744-nucleotide ribosomal RNA is filed under the name uncultured cyanobacterium. Its description in RNAcentral is "bacterial SSU rRNA". It matches the Rfam family "Bacterial small subunit ribosomal RNA", at positions 8 to 796 of the family's 1533-position model. Lineage: Bacteria; Bacillati; Cyanobacteriota. The record is from RNAcentral.
AGAGUUUGAUCCUGGCUCAGGAUGAACGCUGGCGGUCUGCUUAACACAUGCAAGUCGAACGGAGUAGAAAUACUUAGUGGCGGACGGGUGAGUAACGCGUGAGAAUCUGCCUUCAGGACGGAGACAACAGUUGGAAACGACUGCUAAGCCCCGAUGUACCGAAAGGGAAAAUAUUUAUAGCCUGAAGAUGAGCUCGCGUCCGAUUAGCUAGUUGGCGGAGUAAAAGCCCACCAAGGCGACGAUCGGUAGCUGGUCUGAGAGGACGAUCAGCCACACUGGGACUGAGACACGGCCCAGACUCCUACGGGAGGCAGCAGUGGGGAAUUUUCCGCAAUGGGCGAAAGCCUGACGGAGCAAGACCGCGUGGGGGAAGAAGGCUCUUGGGUUGUAAACCCCUUUUCUCAGGGAAGAACACAAUGACGGUACCUGAGGAAUAAGCAUCGGCUAACUCCGUGCCAGCAGCCGCGGUAAUACGGAGGAUGCAAGCGUUAUCCGGAAUUAUUGGGCGUAAAGCGUCCGCAGGUGGCUAAUCAAGUCUGCUGUCAAAGACCGGGGCUUAACUUCGGAAAGGCAGUGGAAACUGAACAGCUAGAGUAUGGUAGGGGCAGAGGGAAUUCCUGGUGUAGCGGUGAAAUGCGUAGAGAUCAGGAAGAACAUCGGUGGCGAAGGCGCUCUGCUGGACCAUAACUGACACUCAGGGACGAAAGCUAGGGGAGCGAAUGGGAUUAGAUACCCCCGUAGUCC